Molecule: ribosomal RNA, 554 nt
Filed under: uncultured bacterium
Lineage: Bacteria
Description: bacterial SSU rRNA
Rfam family: Bacterial small subunit ribosomal RNA
Source: RNAcentral
GAGCGUAGGCGGGUUUCUAAGUCAGGUGUUUAAUCCCGGGGCCCAACCCCGGACAGGCACUUGAAACUGGGAAUCUUGAAUAGUGGAGAGGUCAGUGGAAUUGGGGGUGUAGCGGUGGAAUGCGUAGAGAUCCCCAAGAACACCAGUUGCGAAGGCGGCUGACUGGACACAUAUUGACGCUGAGGCUCGAAAGCAUGGGGAGCAAACAGGAUUAGAUACCCUGGUAGUCCAUGCCAUAAACGAUGAAUACUAGGUUUUGGGCCCGUCAACGGUCCAGAGCCGCAGCUAACGCGUUAAGUAUUCCGCCUGGGGAGUACGGUCGCAAGACUGAAACUCAAAGGAAUUGACGGGGGCCCGCACAAGCGGUGGAGCAUGUGGUUUAAUUCGACGCAACGCGAAGAACCUUACCAAGGCUUGACAUGGGGAAGACCGGACGAGAGAUCGUCCUUCUCUAGCAAUAGAGCUUCCCACACAGGUGCUGCAUGGCUGUCGUCAGCUCGUGUCGUGAGAUGUUGGGUUAAGUCCCGCAACGAGCGCAACCCUCGUUUCUAGUU